GCCGAUGAUGAGCUAAUCCGCCACUGAGCGGUGAUGAGGGCCACGGAUCUGAGG
Molecule: small nucleolar RNA, 54 nt
Filed under: Archaeoglobus profundus DSM 5631
Lineage: Archaea; Methanobacteriati; Methanobacteriota; Archaeoglobi; Archaeoglobales; Archaeoglobaceae
Description: Small nucleolar RNA sR47
Rfam family: Small nucleolar RNA sR47
Source: Rfam by way of RNAcentral